UGUUAAUGUCUGUGUUUAGCCCAUUCUGUAGAUUCCUAUAUUAAAAAUUAAAAAUUGGCAUCAACAUGUCGAUUUAUGGAAUUGAAUUCAAGAAUAGAAGAUUUUCUGCUUAAAGCGUUGCUUAAAGUUUGUCUUAUUUGUGGUAGUACACAACAGUCUGUAUGGUUUUUUUAGGUAUUUAGAAGGUUUGGCUUCUCUAACUGAUUGUUGUAUGGAGAAGUUAAAGCGAAAAACAAUUUUAAUAAAUAUACUAAAUAUAAUCUCAAAUAUUCUACUCAUUGGUAAUAUUAGUACUUUUUAUAUUUUUUAUUUAAAUUAUUUUGCAAAUUAACUAUUUUUCUUAUAAAAAACCAAUGCGUUGAUUAAACUAAAAACACCCUUAUAUCUAAAAUGCUAGAUGAAAGUGAUAAUAUUAAACACCAGAUAUUCAAUAUCAUAAUAUCAGAUGAUGAUAUCGGUAAAUUGAUUAUACCAGUUCUCAAAGAUACAAAAGAUA
Pararge aegeria (speckled wood butterfly) is the source of this 496-nucleotide long non-coding RNA. RefSeq lists it as uncharacterized. Lineage: Eukaryota; Metazoa; Arthropoda; Insecta; Lepidoptera; Nymphalidae. The transcript has 3 exons. The record is from RefSeq and is a predicted model, not a curated record.